This is an RNA transcript of Manihot esculenta (cassava), 2414 nucleotides long. It is a transcript of the gene named importin subunit alpha, with no coding region annotated. The transcript has 12 exons. The record is from RefSeq and is a predicted model, not a curated record. NCBI's taxonomy places the organism in Eukaryota, Viridiplantae, Streptophyta, Magnoliopsida, Malpighiales, Euphorbiaceae.
AUGGCACCCCCUCCGUUGCGAUCCACUCAAAUUAAAAUCCAAAAACCCUUCCCUCCCCUCUCUCACUCCCUCCCAAGCUCUCUCCCUCUCUCAAACGUCCAUACUCAUUUUCUCUCACAAUCAGUCUCUGCGUUCACCUUUGAUUCGAUUCCAGUCUAUUGCCGAUCAUGUCGCUGAGGCCGAGCGCAAGGACAGAGGUACGGAGGAACAAGUACAAGGUGGCGGUGGACGCGGAGGAGGGGAGGAGGAGGAGAGAGGACAACAUGGUGGAGAUCCGGAAAAAUAAGAGGGAAGAGAGCUUGCAGAAGAAGCGACGCGAGGGACUGCAGGCCCAGCAGCAGCAACUCACCUCCUUCUCCAAUUCCUCUACUACCGAUAAGAAGUUAGAAAGUCUUCCAGCAAUGGUUGCAGGUGUUUGGUCAGAAGAUAGGAACUCACAGCUUGAGGCAACCACUCAUUUUCGAAAGCUGCUCUCAAUAGAACGUAGUCCUCCAAUCAAUGAAGUUGUACAGUCUGGUGUUGUUCCACGUUUCAUUGAGUUCCUUGCAAGGGAUGACUUUCCACAGCUUCAGUUUGAGGCAGCAUGGGCUCUCACAAAUAUUGCCUCCGGAACAUCAGAAAACACCAAAGUUGUAAUUGAUCAUGGGGCUGUGCCAAUAUUUAUUAAGCUUUUAAGUUCACCCACUGACGAUGUCAGGGAACAGGCUGUCUGGGCUCUAGGAAAUAUUGCUGGUGACUCACCUAAGUGUCGCGAUCUUGUCCUUGGCUGUGGGGCUUUGAUGCCAUUGCUUGCACAGUUCAAUGAACAUGCAAAGCUUUCUAUGUUGAGAAAUGCAACCUGGACGUUGUCUAACUUCUGCAGGGGCAAGCCACAACCUUUAUUUGAGCAGACAAAGCCUGCUCUUCCAGCUCUUGAGCGUCUUAUACAUUCGAAUGAUGAGGAAGUCCUGACAGAUGCAUGCUGGGCACUGUCUUAUCUCUCAGAUGGAACCAAUGACAAAAUCCAAGCUGUUAUUGAGGCAGGGGUCUGCCCCAGGCUUGUUGAACUUUUGCUUCAUUCAUCUCCAACAGUGCUCAUUCCUGCAUUACGUACAGUUGGAAAUAUUGUCACUGGUGAUGACAUGCAGACUCAGUGUAUGAUAAACCACCAGACUCUUCCAUGCCUUUUGAACCUCCUGACCCAUAAUUAUAAAAAGAGCAUCAAGAAGGAAGCAUGCUGGACAAUCUCAAACAUCACAGCUGGAAACAUAAAUCAAGUACAGGCCAUAAUUGAAGCUGGUAUCAUUGCGCCUCUUGUGCAACUGCUUCAGAAUGCUGAAUUUGAAAUCAAGAAAGAGGCUGCUUGGGCAAUUUCAAAUGCUACUUCUGGUGGUACCCAUGAACAAAUCAAAUUCUUGGUGAACCAGGGGUGUAUCAAACCAUUAUGUGAUCUCCUAAUAUGUCCAGACCCCAGAAUCAUCACAGUUUGCUUGGAAGGACUUGAGAACAUCCUAAAGGUUGGAGAAGCUGAAAAAAAUUUAGGCAAUACUGGAGAUGCGAAUCUGUAUGCCCAAAUGAUUGAUGAUGCAGAGGGAUUGGAAAAGGUUGAGAACCUUCAGAGUCAUGACAACAAUGACAUAUACGAGAAAGCAGUGAAGAUUCUUGAGACAUAUUGGCUGGAUGAGGAGGAUGAUGAUGAAGCAACACAUCAGGGUGAUGCUCCCGUAGAUGGAUAUAACUUUGGAGGAAGUGAAUUUACUGUUCCUUCUGGUGGAUUUAAAUUUAGUUGAGGUAUGCAACUUGUUUUCCAUGAAUGGUUGUCUUCGUAAAUUCCAUAAACAGUGGAAUCGGUUAGCUUGUGGAAAUUGGUUGGGAAUUGGAUGUUGUUGAUGACUUAAAUCGUCAUAGUUGAGGACUUGAACCCUCGAGAGAAUGUUGAUGAGUAUGAGGGGCCUUUUUGGGAUAUAAAGUCUGGUGGAAUGAAGCUGAGAGUCCUGGUUCACGUUUUGGUUGGGUGGUGGUGAAGGCACUUUCCAUUAUGUCCUGCUUUAGUCCAACUUCAAAUGGGAUUGAAUGAUGCAAGGGUUUCAAGACAAGAAAUGGUUAAAGCUUCUCCGAUCAAUUGGCAAUGCUGGUGGAAACUACACAAACGAUCCUUUUUCUCUCGUUUUCCAUUCUAUCAUUUUUUCUUCUUGUAGUUCUUUUGAUUCCUGGGUGGACAUGUGAUGCUGCCCAUCGUUCUCUAACAGUAUCUUCCUCGAUUUUUUUUUAUUAUUUUUUUAAAAUAGUUGUUAGAGCAAUUGUUUGAGGGGAAAAAAAAGUUUACUGCAUUCAGAGGUCUUUUAGAGACAAAUUGCGAGAUUUCGUCUUUCCUAUUAGAAAGAUGUAUCGAUUUUAUCUCGAGAUUAAUGUCAACAGACAAUGAUUUUUCUGCU